Molecule: long non-coding RNA, 282 nt
Filed under: Lathyrus oleraceus (garden pea)
Lineage: Eukaryota; Viridiplantae; Streptophyta; Magnoliopsida; Fabales; Fabaceae
Description: Pisum sativum (pea) long non-coding RNA (PSAT_LNC021583)
Source: RNAcentral
AUCAAUGACUCAAAAGAAACUUGGCGUCUUGCUGUUCGAAUAAUGGAUGUUUGGAGUGUUGUGAAUAAUAAGGGUAUUGAACAUUUGGAGAUGAUUGUUAUGGAUUCCUUGGUAAAUUGCUUUUCUUUUUUUAAGUAUAGAUUUUUGUAUGAUAGUUAGUAAUUACAACAAAAUGCUUUUUUGUAUAACAUAUAAAAAGAAGAUUAUUUUCAUUUUGUUAGGGUGAUCGGAUUCAGGUCCUUAUUCGUCAUGACCAUUUACUGAAAUGGAAAGAGGUCAUUA